AUAGUGCCACUCCCUGGGCCAAGCACAUUCAAACCACCACAGGGUCCAUCUUUGAUUCUCACGGACACAGCUAAUUGACAUGAAGAUCAGUGCCCAUCAUAGUAUGUACAAGUGUGGAGUGCCAUUGAGUUGUCCGUGGGAUCGGAUGCUAUGAUGGGCAGAAAGAACAUUUACAUGGUGCUUGAGGAGGACUCAGCGAUGGCUCCUGCCCUUGGUGCCCAGCACAGCAGAGCACAUGCCUAUGAUGGGCUUCCAAGACACACACUUCUACCCUGUGCUGAAGGGACAACUGAAACAGCUUGUUCCCAAGACAGCUAUGGGACACAAAGUUGGCGGUUGGUGUGGCUCCUGCAGGGAACCUGGCCACUCUCCAGCAAGCCUCCUGCUGGUGUUUCCCCAAAGUGGAUUCCUGGCUUGUGGAAGAGUCAAGAUGGAGGCUCCCUAGGGUGAGCAGGUAUGGGGAGUAAAACACCAGUUCCUCUCCGGCCCCAAGGAUCCAACCUGAGCUCCUCUGAAGGGGAGGAGGGAGAGGAGACAAUAGCCCCUGUGUGUGUGUGUGUGUGUGUGUGUGUGUGUGUAGAGACACUUGCCUGGGCACACUGGUCAGGGAAGGAACCCAGCGGGCUCAUGUUCUGACACCUGGACUGGUAGACAGGGACUCACAUGGGCAGGUGGUGGCUUGUGUAGGCAGGCAAGCUUUCGGGGAUAAGGACCCAGCUCUCCUUUGCUGUGUGAGUUUUGCUUAGAUUCACUGUAUGGCCUUACAGCUUUUGUGGGCAUGCUCAGACAGGUCUUUUGCUUUAUGGUCUCAUUAAAUACAGAACCAUCACUGGCUGAUCUUGGGGAGGACCUGCGUUCCGUUCCCAGCAUCCACAUGGCAACCUACAACCAUCCAUAACUCCAGUUCCAGGGGACCUGGUGUCUUCUGGCCUCUGCAGGCUCCAGGCAUGCACAAGGCGUACAGACAUGCUUUCAGGUGAAACACCCGGACACAUAAAUAAAAGUAAACACAUUGAAAAAUGGAGCCAUCAAGGUGACAGGAUUGGAAUCUCAUGUGAAGGCCUUAGUGGGGUAAGUGUCAUGGAAGGCACAGCAGUGUCCCCCAACCAUACUCUUUCUCUUGUUUUUCCUGGAACAGGGACUCUUAGUGACAUGAAACCCUGAGGCUUCCUCUUCCAGGACAUCCAUACUGCCUGUUCUUCCUCUUAAUCUCUUUAAAGCUUUUGCAUAUUUGUUCAUCUCUUUACCCAGUGUUCCUCCAGCCUUUUUGACACAUGGGUCACAGGGACACCAUCAGACUCUGAGCCACCGUUCUCCAGGUUCUUCAAGAUGCCAUCCCUUCAAUGAAAUGCGUGGUUCCCACCCUUCUGACCCUUGGUGCUUUCCCUCUGGUCUCCAGGGCUCCUCUCACUGUUGAGGGAGGCCAACUAUCAGGUGGGCAGUCACUCUGGGCAGAGUAAGGAGAGGGGCCUUGAACUCCCUGCCUCUUGGAUCUCAGACUCAGUCAUCUCUCCUGUGUUCCACGUUGCUUCUGGACAAUUGUUGCAGGCAAUGAGUUGGGUGGGGUGGGCCCUUCUUGGUUACCAUUCUCUCCAGGGUUUCAGUCCUUCACUGCCUGGUGGACGGUGUCUUGAAGGCAGUGUGUCAUGUAUUUGGUUCAGUUCCAGCCUUCAGCAACUCUGCCUUGGCUGGGAGCAAAAUUACCUGCUAAGGUAUAAUUCCACAACCUGAGAAUGGUCUACAAGAUGUUUUUACCUCCAAUGAAAUGCAUGGUUCCCACUUCUCCGACCUUUGGUGCUCUACCCCGGCCUCUGGGGGUCCCCUAAUUGCUGAGAUUCAGAGGCACCCCUCCUUUUCUUACCAACAAGCUUGGUGGAGGUUCACUGAAAGCCAUUUUUUUCCAGAGAUUCUUUUUUCUGACAUUAGCUUGGAGAUGUGGGAACCAGGGCCAAACUUUUUGAAGCAAGUAGGUUCCUUCUCCUACCUAUCCUGGGAAUCUUUAUAGCUCCAAGAUGUCUCCUGCAUAGGGCGCUGAUCUCAGUCUCCAUGGCCCUAAAGCCUCUGACAGAUGCACCUUUUCUAAGGGCUGCCUAGCCUCUGGAGCACCUGGACCUAUAGGCUGGGCAGCCACGGCCGGGAGGAUUUCCUUCUAUGCUGAGUAAAGAGAGUCAGACACAGGACUGACUGAGCCUGUGAGAAGAAAUGACUGCGUGAAGGCCCAGUCAUCCACCCCGGUGCUGUUAUAUGAGAUGUGCUGACUCUCACUUCCUCAGGGAGAGGGAGGCUGUUCUUGUUGUUGGUGUCCCGACCCUUCACUGUGCAUUUGAGCAGGGGAGAGGAGUCUUAGAGACUGUAGCCCACUGGGGUGGGCAUCUGAACACACACACACACACACACACACACACACACACACAGGGUCAUGUUGACCCUCUGCAAUUUUGUAGGAGACACAGUGAACAUUUCAAAAUCCCAGAGUCAGUGACCCAGCAGCCGCUAUAUACACUGACAUAUACAGAAAUGGUAAUUUUCAGGCUCUCAUUUCUAGGGUUUUGUAGAGCCCCGUCAUUGGUCAGCUUUUAGCCAUCCGUGUGUGCAACUGGCGGUAGCUCUGGGUCUAGGUCCUUCCUGAGUACAGUUUGGGCUGUUUCUCUUCUUUGUUUGGAGGAGUAUUGGGCACUGGGCAUGCUCUCUGUCAGGCAUUGCACACGAGUGUGUCUGUGCAGUCCCUCAGGUUAGGUGUGAAGGAAGCUUCCUCCUUGGGCUUUUCUGCAUAGCUUGGAGUGGGAGGGACUUGUGGGUCUUGUACUUCCUGAAGGCACCUCCUGCCUAGGUCUCAGGGACUGUUGGGACAUCUCUCUUCUCAGACUAGGAUGGAUGGGAUUCCCUGCCCCCAGACAGACCAUCUAGUUGCAGGACAUGGCACUGAAGAAGGUGGAUCCUGCCUAUAGAAGCUUCCUUGGCCAUGAAAGAUGGGCAGAACUCACCGUGACAAGCCUCGUUUUCCAGCAGAAUCCACCCCGUGACCCACGAGCUCCUCUGGGUACUUUGGCAUGUUUUUCUUUUCUGCUCGGAGACAGAUGGAUGAGCAGGCAAGGAAGCAUAGCAGACUCAUCAGGAAACAUUGAGUAAGGCCUGGCAGAACAUGGAUUCGGCUGCUGCAGGAACCAACCAAGGGAAAGCAGAAUUCAAUGAGUGUGGCCGAGACGUUGAUGGGACCAUGUCACCCAGGGUGGCCCUUCUGGUCACUGGAGUUCACAGAUGAAGGGAUAAAGUGGGGGCGUGGGAGCCUGGUGGAUAACUCCCUCAUAGCAGAAGGAUUUGCAGACUGUCAUGCUGGCCUGGGAAGAGUAGGGGUAUGGUAGAACACAGUUGGGGCAGCUUCUAACGAGGAUGAUUGUCUGACAGGUUGACAGUGACCUUGGCUCUCUUGGUCAGGAGGCUGUAGGAACAAGCCCCUUCCUCGCUGCUGAGCUGGACCAGAGGGAGACAAUAACAGCUCCUCUGUGUGUAUAAGCCCUGACCUGUUCAGUGGGCGCCAUUCUGAAAUGAGGGUACCGUCAAAGACAGAGGAGAGCUCUGGGCAUCAAGGAGGGCUGGGGGGGGGGGCUGAGGAUCUGGAGGUAGACUGUCAAUCUCGUUAUUUCUAUCACUGGCAGACAGACUGGAGGAGGGAGGCUUGGGGCCCCUGCUGAGAGCACACACUCCAGACUGCUCUCCCCAAUUCUUAGCCCGAGGGACACACCGUGCACCCUAAGAAUGACCUUGCCUUUGGGACUGGCUGAUGGUCCCGGUGGACACUUGACUCAGAGCUCAAGAAAGGCUUCUGAAGAGCCAGCAGAGUUGUGUGGGUUAGUCCCCCACAGGCCAGCACAGAUGUCCCUCAGCACAUCUCUGAGGAACAGAUGACUUGUAGGGACGUAGACUUUGACACUGCAGCUGGCAAGACUCGCGGCAAAGUCUUCAGCACACGUACAAGAGGCUGGGGUCUAGGAGAUGAAAGGGACCCACUGGACAUGUUCCUCUAGCACAGAACACGCUUAUAAACGGCCUGUCUGUAGCAGAGAGCGCGCAGAAAGGCAGAAAGGCUGUCAAUGAUCUUCUCAGAAGGACUCGGUCGCUCUGCUCUGUCUCGCUCUUACCGUUGCCAGACCCUUCUUCAAGUAAAUUCAGGUUUCUCAGUGCUGGGAACUUGGACUUCAGCUUGUGUUUUUGGAGGGAGGCAUGGUUUGCCCCAUACCAUGAAUAUUUUCUUGCAGGGUGGCCUUCCUUACUGUGUUUGACUCUAGGCUU
This is a long non-coding RNA of Mus musculus (house mouse), 4290 nucleotides long. RefSeq annotates it as predicted gene, 31353. NCBI's taxonomy places the organism in Eukaryota, Metazoa, Chordata, Mammalia, Rodentia, Muridae. The record is from RefSeq and is a predicted model, not a curated record. The transcript is spliced from 5 exons.